GCUGUUCCUUCAGAGCGCGACGCUCGAACUCGCAGAAAAAGACGAGUGCAUUCUUUGUGCCAGUUGAUGUGCAUGUGCUGAUGCGUUUCUCCCAGAUUUGUGUUGUGUGACCCUUGCUUACUAACUGCUGUCGCAACCUUCAGCGUGUGUUUGCCAAGGAGUUUGAACAUCCAAUUGGAGGCAGCUGGUCAAUCAAAUUCCUCUGAAAUCAUCCAAAUCAUUGUUUAGGAAGAUUAUUGAUAAUGCAAUACAGAAUAAGACUAUGUGUUUAGUUUUCUUAUAAACAACUUCAUGAUGGGAACUGGAAUAUAUUUGACUUGUAAAUCACAGAAUGUCUAGGCAUACUGAUGAGCAUGUACUAUUGUCUCCAUAUGCAUUGACUGAAGUGAAAACUGGUUUAUUACCAACUUGUUAAAAAUUUUGCCUGUAUUUUAUACUCUAUCUGAUAUAACUACUUGAUAGGGCUUAGCUUUUCAAUAUAAAAUUCUACUGUUACUAAUUCUAUUGGUAAAAGGAUAUCUUACUCUAUCGAGUCCUCCUCAUAGGUAAAAUUUAUGCCACUUACAGAAUUAUUGGUGAAAUUGUGAAAAACUUCCGUGAAGAUGUAAACUGUACUCCAUAGUCCAGUUGUUCCCAAUGAGUUAGGAGCCUUGCUUUACCUUGGUCAGGGGUUUCAAAAGGUGUUCCUUUCACUGCAUGGAAAAAGACAUACAUCCCCUGGAAAACAAGUGGAUAUAUAAUCAACAUCAAAUGCAAAAUUAGUCUGUUAUAAGCAUUUAGAUAGUCUACAUCUGCGGCUAGGGGCCUCUCCAAACUUCUCCUGGCAGGACUUUUUAGACUGCAUUAUUGUGGUCUAUUUGUUUCUAAUACCUAAUAAGUUUUAAGUUCCUUGGGGGCAGGAUCUGAUUAUCUUUUUCACCCAUGUAUCAGUGUCAAAGCAAGUGCUAAACAAAUAGUUUAAUUAUAGUUAGAAAAAAAAAGAUAAUUCUAGGUUACAUGUGAUAGAUUGUGAUUUAACUUAACAGCUCAAGUUUUAAGCUUUCAUAUUACAGUGAAAGGCUGUGGCCAAUUUCUUUAUGGUAAAAAUAGAAGCCUUCAGGGAUAUAUAAAUACUAUUUGGUAUACUUUUGGUAUAAAAGGUCCACCAAAACCUGUUUACAUCUUUUCAUUUUAAGUGGGGAAAAAAAAAAAAAACAACCCACAAACAAAAAGUAACACUAGGGUAGCUUUA
Long non-coding RNA from Choloepus didactylus (southern two-toed sloth), 1231 nucleotides. RefSeq lists it as uncharacterized. NCBI's taxonomy places the organism in Eukaryota, Metazoa, Chordata, Mammalia, Pilosa, Megalonychidae. The record is from RefSeq and is a predicted model, not a curated record. The transcript is spliced from 3 exons.